Molecule: ribosomal RNA, 229 nt
Filed under: uncultured bacterium
Lineage: Bacteria
Description: partial 16S ribosomal RNA
Rfam family: Bacterial small subunit ribosomal RNA
Source: RNAcentral
UGCGUAGGCGGGCUAAUAAGUCAGUGGUGAAAUCUUCCGGCUCAACCGGGAACCUGCCAUUGAUACUGUUAGUCUUGAGUUCGGUUGAGGUAGGCGGAAUGUGUAAUGUAGCGGUGAAAUGCUUAGAUAUUACACAGAACACCAAUUGCGUAGGCAGCUUACUAGACCGACACUGACGCUGAGGCACGAAAGCGUGUGGAGCGAACAGGAUUAGAUACCCUGGUAGUCC